UGCUGAGAAUUUUUGGAUCUAUGAAAAUCAGGGAUAUUGGCUUGUAAUUUUCUUUUUCUGUAGUGGCCUUUUAUGGCUUUUAUAUAAAGAUAAUGCUUGCCUCGUUAAAUGAGUUGGACAGUGUUCCUUCAUUUUCAAGUUUUUGGAAGACUUUGAGAAGGAUUGGCAUUAAUUUUUUAAAGGCUUGGAAGAAUUCACUGUUGAAUCCAUCAGCUCUGUUCCUGGGCUUUUUUUGCGGGGGAGGUUUUUCAAAUUUUUUAAAUUGCAUCUAUCGCUUUGCUUGUUAUUCACCUUUUCAGAGUUUCUACUUCUUCGUGAUUCAGUCUUGUGAUGACGCCCAAUGGAUACCUGCACUUGUGAAGUCCCUGUCUCAUCGAUCUAAGCGAAGCUAUAUGUGACUUGCUUUGGCCAGUGGCCAUUACCAGAUGAGAUGCCCGCGUACACAGGAAAAGCCCUUUUGAAUUGGGGCUUGGACAUUCUUGCUCUUGAUAACACUGCUGCCAUGUAGAAGCCUGGGUUAGCCCAUCUGAGGACACGACCAUGAAGAGCAGACAUGAGCCUUCCUAGCUGAGGCCACAAGCUGACACACCAGCUGAUUACAGCCACAUGAGUGAACUCAGGCAAGUCAACAAGUGAACUGACAAGGCGGGCUUAGCUGGAAUCAUAGGCAAAUAAAUGAUUGGUCUUUUAAAUCACCAAGUUUUACGGUGGCUUAAUUAACUGCAAUAAAUAGAUACAGCUUGCAAUCCAGGGCAAUUACGGUAUGUCUUCAAAUGCAUUUCUGUAAUUGACCUAGUUUUCCAAGACUUCAGGAUAUAGUCAUCUAUAAAUACAAUUACAAUCUCAUUCUUUGUAGCACUCCCGUAUUCCCUCCAAAGGUCUAUUCAACACAUUGUAAACUUCAUGAUUUGCUUUGCUCUUAUUUUAUUUUAACUGUUUCAGGAAACUAUGUGUGAACUUAGUAUAAUAGCUACAAGAGAGUUCAUACAGGCCUUAAAAUUACUUAAUUUAUUGAGCUGUAUAUUUUUAAUAUGUAUUCUUUUCUUCAUGUAUAUUUUUACUUUAUAUUUAAAAAAAAUGUUUACCUAGAUGGUAGCCAGAACGACAAGAAAAUUUAGAACAGCAUUUUCUAAACCAGAGGUUGGCCACCUUUUAAGAGAUAUGUGUCAUGGUUUUAGCAACCAAACUGCUUCUUGACUUUUAAUGACAGAGGGUAAAGAAUAUAUGACUAUGUUGUGACCAUCAAUUCUCCUGACAGCAGGAGCUGCCACAGAAGGUAUAAAGGAAAUUGUGUAGGAGGUACGAAAUAUUACCCCCACACUCCCCUGGCAUGCUGACUUUGGCACAUACAUCAUAGGACCUUGGUUACUGCACGGAAUCCUCAAAUAUAAGUGGAGUUGUGGGAAAUUGUGUGUUGAAAAGCACAGGCCAGCAUGGUUUUAAUUUAAUGUCUUUUUUUUAAAAGAAAAUUACAUGCUACAUAACAGUCAUGAAAAGGUUUAGUGGGGUAUGGGGUUUGUUUUGGGAACCCAGAUCCUGAUAACUUUUACUUGGAAU
This 1557-nucleotide long non-coding RNA is filed under the name Homo sapiens (human). RNAcentral's name for it is "HSALNT0347801". Lineage: Eukaryota; Metazoa; Chordata; Mammalia; Primates; Hominidae. The record is from RNAcentral.